RNAcentral lists this long non-coding RNA (411 nucleotides) under Equus asinus (donkey). RNAcentral's name for it is "lncRNA (ENSEASG00005037106.1)". The record is from RNAcentral. Lineage: Eukaryota; Metazoa; Chordata; Mammalia; Perissodactyla; Equidae.
GAAUAUAAAAUAAACUGCUACAGAAAAUGUGAACAUGGAAAGAGAUGUCUGGUUGCCUCCUCCAACAUCUGUUCCAUCUCUCCUCAUCAUGUGGCAACCACAGAAUCUGCAUGAGAUUGACCUCAUUCCUCCUCCAGCGUUGUCUCUCAAGUAAACAGAUCAGCUUGGUGCUCCUUUUGCUAUAUUGACUGACCCAGGGAUGGACAGCAACGUCCAAGCAACAUAACCAUUGAGUUCUGGGUGUUCCUCUGACCGAUGUCUGGCUCUGGUUGGCCAAGUCAGAUGAAAUGCAAAACUCCUCUUUAUGGUCAAGGCUAAGCUAAAGUGCCCUGUGUGGCGUACAGAUGUGUGGCCUAGAACCCCAGCUGCUAAGCGCUUCAGGAAGCAAGCCAUACUGAGGAUGAAGAUGCG